GCCCUCCCUAACGCUGCGUUUCCAUGCUACAAACAGAGAGACUUCUCACGAAACCUCUCAGAUCCUUUUCUUCGGAACUGGAACAUCAACAAGCAUGUGGGAAAUUCGGAGUACUGCCUCAAACAUCACCUCCCGCCCCUCCUCGGGGAUGCGGACGGUCUGCCGGUAACGGCCUGGCGUCAAUCGACGCUUGCAAACGACAUCAGAAAUCUCGGAGCCGUCUCUUUGAAGCGUGUCUCCAUGGGAAGUCGUUGCGAGGCUUGUUUGGAGAAAACUGAAGUGCGAUACGCAGCGUCCUCUUUACGAGGAUGACUCAAUUCCGAUCACUCUGGGGAGGGC
RNAcentral lists this RNase P RNA (339 nucleotides) under Fusarium vanettenii 77-13-4. Its description in RNAcentral is "Nectria haematococca mpVI 77-13-4 Nuclear RNase P". It matches the Rfam family "Nuclear RNase P". From Rfam's summary of the family: Ribonuclease P (RNase P) is a ubiquitous endoribonuclease, found in archaea, bacteria and eukarya as well as chloroplasts and mitochondria. Its best characterised activity is the generation of mature 5'-ends of tRNAs by cleaving the 5'-leader elements of precursor-tRNAs. The record is from Rfam by way of RNAcentral. Lineage: Eukaryota; Fungi; Ascomycota; Sordariomycetes; Hypocreales; Nectriaceae.